Molecule: ribosomal RNA, 275 nt
Filed under: uncultured prokaryote
Description: partial 16S ribosomal RNA
Rfam family: Bacterial small subunit ribosomal RNA
Source: RNAcentral
UACGGAGGAUCCGAGCGUUAUCCGGAUUUAUUGGGUUUAAAGGGUGCGCAGGCGGAAUAUUAAGUCGGCGGUGAAAGUUUGCAGCUUAACUGUAAAAUUGCCGUUGAUACUGGUAUUCUUGAGUGUAUAUGAAGUAGGCGGAAUUUGUAGUGUAGCGGUGAAAUGCAUAGAUAUUACAAGGAACUCCGAUUGCGAAGGCAGCUUACUAAAUUACAACUGACGCUUAGGCACGAAGGCGUGGGUAUCAAACAGGAUUAGAUACCCGCGUAGUCCCU